Molecule: long non-coding RNA, 574 nt
Filed under: Pan troglodytes (chimpanzee)
Lineage: Eukaryota; Metazoa; Chordata; Mammalia; Primates; Hominidae
Description: lncRNA (ENSPTRG00000053822.1)
Source: RNAcentral
UGAAUCCAUUCCCAGCCUCACUGCCAGCUCCUGAGACAAAGCCCACGUCAUUCCUUCCCUAGAUUAAUCUCACCAGGAGUCUCAUGAUGGAUCCUCUGCCCCAGGCCAAAUUCCCUUGACAUCCAUCUCCACCUGACCGCCAGAAGUAUCUUUCCAAACAUGGGUCACCAUGCAUGUUUCAGCUUAAAAUCUGCCCAUGAGUCCUCUUUUCCACCAGUGCUGAAAUCAAGCUCCCCUAAAAUGAUUCACGAGGACAUCACACCAGGUGCCCCUCGGAACAGAUGCUCAGCCGAGACGGUUGUGUCGCAGACACCUGGGAGGAGAGGGACUGCAGGUUCCUCAACUCCCUGUGAAAAAAGCAUGCAGACUGUGGAGCUGCCACUUCCCAUGAUCUCAGAGACUUCAUAUGCAUCCAGGUUCACCUAUCACAACCAUAAUGAUCUUGUAUCUCCUUUGGGUUUGUGGGGAGUUUUCUCUCGGCUAUCUACACUCAGGUAUGAGUUUUACAUUAUGUCUCACAUAUGUGUACAUUUUUGGACUGUCAACACUUUAUGUGUAAUUUCCAUAAAUUGUG